Molecule: ribosomal RNA, 445 nt
Filed under: uncultured bacterium
Lineage: Bacteria
Description: bacterial SSU rRNA
Rfam family: Bacterial small subunit ribosomal RNA
Source: RNAcentral
UGGGGAAUUUUGGGCAAUGGGGGAAACCCUGACCCAGCAACGCCGCGUGAAGGAUGAAGUAUUUCGGUAUGUAAACUUCGAAAGAAUAGGAAGAAUAAAUGACGGUACUAUUUAUAAGGUCCGGCUAACUACGUGCCAGCAGCCGCGGUAAUACGUAGGGACCAAGCGUUGUUCGGAUUUACUGGGCGUAAAGGGCGCGUAGGCGGCAUGACAAGUCACUUGUGAAAUCUCUGGGCUUAACCCAGAACGGCCAAGUGAUACUGUCGCGCUAGUGUGGCAGAGGGGGGUGGAAUUCCACGUGUAGCAGUGAAAUGCGUAGAGAUGUGGAGGAACACCGAUGGCGAAGGCAGCCCCCUGGGUCAACACUGACGCUCAUGCACGAAAGCGUGGGGAGCAAACAGGAUUAGAUACCCAGGUAGUCCCUGAGCGGGCUGGCAAGGCGCAU